AACUUGUCGGAAAGUUCGUUUUUCGUCCCUCAAAAAAAUUCCAUACUUUUUUGCUCCCUUAAUUUUCAAAACCGGACAUUUUUAGUCACUCAGUCCAUCCAAAAUGGUUUUCCUAGCCAUAUGUCUGGUUUUCGCAUAAUUUUUUCAUUUAUUUUUUUCAAUCAAGAUAUGGAUGAUGCAGAUGGAGGAGAAGUACAACCAGUGCCUGGACGAGAUCCAAAACACAACGACGUCCAAUUUCAACAGCCUCGGCGGUCACGGGCUUAAGUGCAAACCGGACACGUGGUUAGACAAACCGUUUCGGAUAGCCUUAAAGACUAAA
This 322-nucleotide long non-coding RNA is filed under the name Brachypodium distachyon (stiff brome). Its description in RNAcentral is "long non-coding RNA (BDIS_LNC001443)". Lineage: Eukaryota; Viridiplantae; Streptophyta; Magnoliopsida; Poales; Poaceae. The record is from RNAcentral.